This 142-nucleotide non-coding RNA is filed under the name Nannocystis exedens. Lineage: Bacteria; Pseudomonadati; Myxococcota; Nannocystales; Nannocystaceae. The record is from RNAcentral.
CAGCGGGUGAGAGUCCCGCCCGGGUAAGCGCCGGAGCACCCGGAAGCAGACCCCAGGUCCAGGGAGAGAUCCUUGCGGCCCGAGCGGGGUGUCGAAAGCCUGUCCUUGGAGACAGGGAGCGAAGCUGCGGGCCGCAACGCGC